Sander lucioperca (pikeperch) is the source of this 421-nucleotide long non-coding RNA. RefSeq lists it as uncharacterized. The record is from RefSeq and is a predicted model, not a curated record. The transcript has 2 exons. Lineage: Eukaryota; Metazoa; Chordata; Actinopteri; Perciformes; Percidae.
AGCACUGCCUGCGCUGCUCUUCCUGUCACAUUGAUGCCAAUUGACUGAGGUAGCUGUCCACACGGUGCAGCCAGAGCCAAUUGACUUCUGACCCACCCGUGUAACAAAGCAGUGCCUCCCAAUGUUCCUGAAUCAAUAUGGCCUCUCCGCAUCACAGCAGCAGCGCUCAGAUUGGCUCCCCCUAUGCUGACCUUCCCGAGAGCCCGAGCGCACAUCGACUGGUCGGGGAGGAGGAAAUGUGCAAGUCCUGGGCAACUUUGCAUGGACGGGUAGUUGUUUUCAAAGAUACAACCUGCACUCUAUCUGAACUUCUAUUUUUAGAAUAUAUUCACAUACAUUCUUGACUUUUGACUUGCGUUUUCCCAUUGAACUAUAAAGGUGAGUUGGGACUGCCUACUUUAAAGCUCCAUUAGGCAAAUGA